CCUACGGGAGGCAGCAGUAGGGAAUCUUCGGCAAUGGACGAAAGUCUGACCGAGCAACGCCGCGUGAGUGAAGAAGGUUUUCGGAUCGUAAAACUCUGUUGUUAGAGAAGAACAAGGACGUUAGUAACUGAACGUCCCCUGACGGUAUCUAACCAGAAAGCCACGGCUAACUACGUGCCAGCAGCCGCGGUAAUACGUAGGUGGCAAGCGUUGUCCGGAUUUAUUGGGCGUAAAGCGAGCGCAGGCGGUUUCUUAAGUCUGAUGUGAAAGCCCCCGGCUCAACCGGGGAGGGUCAUUGGAAACUGGGAGACUUGAGUGCAGAAGAGGAGAGUGGAAUUCCAUGUGUAGCGGUGAAAUGCGUAGAUAUAUGGAGGAACACCAGUGGCGAAGGCGGCUCUCUGGUCUGUAACUGACGCUGAGGCUCGAAAGCGUGGGGAGCAAACAGGAUUAGAUACCCUGGUAGUC
RNAcentral lists this ribosomal RNA (465 nucleotides) under Enterococcus faecalis. RNAcentral describes it as "bacterial SSU rRNA". It matches the Rfam family "Bacterial small subunit ribosomal RNA", at positions 338 to 795 of the family's 1533-position model. The record is from RNAcentral. Lineage: Bacteria; Bacillati; Bacillota; Bacilli; Lactobacillales; Enterococcaceae.